AUUGAACGCUGGCGGCACGCCUAACACAUGCAAGUCGAGCGGUAACAUGUUUAGUAGCAAUACUAGAUGAUGACGAGCGGCGGACGGGUGAGUAACACGUAGGAACCUAUCCAAGAGAGGGGGACAACCAAGGGAAACUUUGGCUAAUACCGCGUAAUCUCGGAAGAGGAAAGCUGCCUCGCAAGAGGUGGUGCUUUUGGAGGGGCCUGCGUCCGAUUAGCUAGUUGGUGAGGUAAAAGCUUACCAAGGCGAUGAUCGGUAACUGGUCUGAGAGGACGACCAGUCACACUGGGACUGAGACACGGCCCAGACUCCUACGGGAGGCUG
RNAcentral lists this ribosomal RNA (327 nucleotides) under uncultured Pseudomonadota bacterium. RNAcentral's name for it is "bacterial SSU rRNA". It matches the Rfam family "Bacterial small subunit ribosomal RNA", at positions 30 to 351 of the family's 1533-position model. The record is from RNAcentral. Lineage: Bacteria; Pseudomonadati; Pseudomonadota.